AAUAGAUACCCUGGUAGUCCACGCCGUAAACGAUGGAUGCUAGCUAUUGGGGGGAAUCGACCCCCUCCGAAGCGAAGCUAACGCGUUAAGCAUCCCGCCUGAGUAGUACGAGCGCAAGCUUAAAACUCAAAGGAAUUGACGGGGACCCGCACAAGCGGUGGAGCGUGUGGUUUAAUUCGAUGGUAAACGAAGAACCUUACCAAGGUUUGACAUCCCGGUAGCCGUUCUCCGAAAGGAGAAUUUCAUUUAGUUGGACCGGUGACGGGUGAUGCAUGGCCGUCGUCAGCUCGUGUCGUGAGAUGUUGGGUUAAGUCCCGCAACGAGCGCAACCCUUAUGAUUUAGUUGGAUUUUUCUAAACAGACUGCCCUGGUAACAGGGAGGAAGGAGGGGAUGAUGUCAGGUCAGUAUUUCCCUUACACCUUGGGGCGACACACGCGCUACAAUGGCCGGUACAAUGGGCAGCUAAGCCGCGAGGUGGAGCAAAUCCCAUCAAAGCCGGUCCCAGUUCGGAUUGCAGGCUGAAACCCGCCUGCAUGAAGCCGGAAUCGCUAGUAACC
RNAcentral lists this ribosomal RNA (558 nucleotides) under uncultured bacterium. Its description in RNAcentral is "bacterial SSU rRNA". It matches the Rfam family "Bacterial small subunit ribosomal RNA", at positions 777 to 1343 of the family's 1533-position model. The record is from RNAcentral.